RNAcentral lists this ribosomal RNA (301 nucleotides) under uncultured bacterium. RNAcentral's name for it is "partial 16S ribosomal RNA". It matches the Rfam family "Bacterial small subunit ribosomal RNA", at positions 509 to 809 of the family's 1533-position model. The record is from RNAcentral.
CAGCCGCCGCGGUAAUACGUAGGUGGCAAGCGUUGUCCGGAAUUAUUGGGCGUAAAGCGCGCGCAGGCGGAUCAGUUAGUCUGUCUUAAAAGUUCGGGGCUUAACCCCGUGAUGGGAUGGAAACUGCUGAUUUAGAGUAUCGGAGAGGAAAGUGGAAUUCCUAGUGUAGCGGUGAAAUGCGUAGAUAUUAGGAAGAACACCAGUGGCGAAGGCGACUUUCUGGACGAAAACUGACGCUGAGGCGCGAAAGCCAGGGGAGCGAACGGGAUUAGAUACCCCGGUAGUCCCUGUCUCUUAUACA